UGGAUGCCUCACCUGCCUCUUUUUUUCUCAUUAUUUCUCUUAUAAAUUUCUUCAUACUCAGAUGAUUGGCAUAGGACCAGCCACUUCUUAUCUCUCUCUCUCUCUAACCAAAUUAAUAAUCUUGCAAACCAAGAUGAGCGUGGAGCACUAGAUCGGGAACAUGCAAUGGAUUCUGGGAAUCUAUCCGACAACUAAAAUGAUUACAACUCCUUCCAUGAUUCCUAGAUAAGGAAUAGAUGAUAUUAGGAGGACUAGGUUAGAUUUGGGAUAUGCACUAAAAUCCUGACCACUAGUCAAAUGGAUGGUGGAGUCUUACCCUUGAUGUAGACCUUUUUAUUAUAUGAUUAAUUUUUAGUUGGCCCCACAAGUCUUGGGACCC
RNAcentral lists this long non-coding RNA (379 nucleotides) under Elaeis guineensis (African oil palm). Its description in RNAcentral is "long non-coding RNA (EGUI_LNC027815)". The record is from RNAcentral. Lineage: Eukaryota; Viridiplantae; Streptophyta; Magnoliopsida; Arecales; Arecaceae.